This 1531-nucleotide long non-coding RNA is filed under the name Apteryx rowi (Okarito brown kiwi). Its description in RNAcentral is "lncRNA (ENSARWG00000017570.1)". The record is from RNAcentral. Lineage: Eukaryota; Metazoa; Chordata; Aves; Apterygiformes; Apterygidae.
AGGAAAUCGGGUCAAGCAUAUGAAUGACCCAACUUACUUCCUUAGGGAUUAUCAGCUCACAUAGAGAACCCUUGUACAGCCCUAAUAAACUCUUAAAUGUCCUGGAUAUGCACUGUCAUAUAGUCUAGCAGGCAGUGAUCAUCGAUGUAGCAGCAAAGAGGGCAGCUCUUUUGCCACAGCUAUUGCCAUAGUUCAGAUGAGCAAACACGAUCUUGCUCCAUAAUGACAAAGAGUUCCUUCAAAAUAUGGCAUGUCUGCAGCUCUUUGCAUCAGAAAACAAUGGAAAAAGCAUUGUUUCAAUUUAAAAUAGAGGUUAUCCCACUGUAUUGCUAGCAAGAUGAUCUAAGGCUCUGUCUGCCCAGAGAGUUGGGGGUUGAAUUGCUGACUGGGCUGGCCAAACCUCUACUUCAACACCUUCUGGCUUGGCCAUACCAAGGCUGAAAGCUUUUGUGAAAGUUGGGCUCUGAGAUGGGCUGGCUGGCUAACCUCCCCUCCCACUGCUCUGACUGCAAUUUGCGUUUCAAGUCUACAGCCCCCAAAUUUGCAGCCUUCACUUCCUCAUCCUGACCUCCUGCUUGCACUCUCAGACCUUCUGACUGUUUUUACAGCUCUGUCUGGAGAGAGCUUCUGAAGGAGUCUCACAUGGACACCUUGGGUCUACAGUCCCAGGUCUUGUCAUUGUCCUUUGGACCAAAUGGUGGUAAGAAGUACCUCAUAACUAAUGCACUUUGGAGCCUGUUGGGAUGGAUGAGGCUAGCAUUGGAUGAAGUCACUAUCUGUUAGUGAGCUAUGGACCAGGUUAUGAUGAUACUGGAUUGGUUUUACAAGAGGAUAUUAUUACCCAGUACUGAGAAACUUAGUUUCAUGCUGAAAAAGCAGUUCAACCCUCACCAAGAAGUCACUAACCAAUGUUAGCCGUAACAGUAACUAGUAAUUGUAUUUGUGAAUGAAUCAAAAAGAUUUGAGUCAUUCUUGUGGAAAGCUGAAGUCACAUUCAUGGCUGGGAUAAAUGCAUGCAGUUCCUCUGAGCAGAUGCUUUUUCUAACAUUCCAAACAUCUAAGAACCUCGACAGAGAAAUGUUUCUUUCUCUGUCAGAAAAAGACUCAUGUUCAAGGCCCCAGAACCAACACAAAGUGAUCUUUGCACCAAGGACUAUCUUUCGUAGUUCUAACAAAAUUAUACUGUUGAAGCGUGUUAUCUCGCAUCCUUGUAGAAAUGGAAAUUGGAGACGUAAUUUACCAUCGGAAAGAAGACUUCCUUCUUUUGGAAGCUGGACGGCUGGACCAGGAAACUCUGAAGACUUGAAACACUGAAACAAAAUCCCUCAGCAAAGAAAGGGCAGGCGGGUUAAUUCCAGGUUGUGCGGACCCUGAACGCCAAAUAGCAUGUGAAUAUAACUAAGCUGCGCAACUUUACAGGUUCAGUAUAAAUUCAAAGUCUGUUCCUUUCAAGCAAACUCCAGAAAACAUCRUGAAAUAGUCGUUCACGGGUCCCUGCGUGCACAGUGCGUACAGACCCCGGUGGGAGCUG